This is a long non-coding RNA of Mobula hypostoma (lesser devil ray), 387 nucleotides long. RefSeq lists it as uncharacterized. The record is from RefSeq and is a predicted model, not a curated record. The transcript is spliced from 3 exons. Lineage: Eukaryota; Metazoa; Chordata; Chondrichthyes; Myliobatiformes; Myliobatidae.
CGGAGCCACGGGAGGUGUCAACGUUUGCCGGAGGAGGCAGCGGUGGCGCACCAAAUUGGGGAAUUAAUUGUCGAGCUGGAAUCUCGCCGGAAUAGGUUUAAAUUGUGGAGCCUGCACACUUGCAGUCUUAUGCGUUCGCCGUUUUUGCGUACCAUUGCGAAAGUCUAAUUGGUCUUAGUUUUUGGAGGCCCAGUAAUAAAAUAAACAAGAUGUUGCCUGACCUGCUGAGUUCCUCCAGCAUUUGGUGUGUUUUGCUUUGGAUUUCCAGCAUCUGCAGAUUUUCUCAUGUUUGUCAUAAACUACAAAAGGAGACUUGCAGGACUCAGCAGAACGGAGGUGGCAUUUGUUGUGGACUGUUGAAUUAUUCUGUGAAGAGCAUCCUAACUG